RNA transcript from Triticum aestivum (bread wheat), 2192 nucleotides. RefSeq lists it as uncharacterized. NCBI's taxonomy places the organism in Eukaryota, Viridiplantae, Streptophyta, Magnoliopsida, Poales, Poaceae. The transcript has 3 exons. The record is from RefSeq and is a predicted model, not a curated record.
CUUCUCCUCCCGCACGACCUCCUCCUCCCGCGCCGUUCGCCUCCCUUCGCCGCGCCCUUCGCCGCAGCCGAGGCAGACGAGCCCCCUGAAGGGGAGGUCCCUCCAGGGACGGCGCAGUAGGCGAGCGCCGCGUAGGCGUCGGCGAGGACAUGGACGAGGGAGGUGGCCCUGUUGUGUGCGACGGGGAAGCAGAUGCCGACGGUGCUGGCGACGAGGAUUGAUGCCGACGGCGCUUGACGGCCCCGUCCCGCCUCUCCCAGCCGCCGCCGUCGCCGAAGACGGAGGGCUCCGGCUUCGCGCCCCAGAACAUGGCCUGGGUGACCGGCGGCGCCGGGUGCGUCCAGAAGGAGCAGGUGUCGUUGCCUCCCCGGCCGUCGCCGCCCAGCACACGAGGAGCUGCGCCGGGGACUGUCGAGUCGCCGCGGCCGCCCCGCUUGGAGAAGCCGCAUGGUAGUCGCUGCGCCGUGCUCAUCUGAUGCCUGGACGACAAGGAGCAGCCUGCCAACAUCCCUGAGACAGGCGUCACCAGCGGAUGCAGCAGUGCAACCUUGAGCUUCAGUGAGGUGUAGUGUAUGAAUGGAUGGAUGGAUGAAUGUGGAAGUAAAAACAGGGGAAUGUUGGCGUUCUUGGAUAGAAUUGUCAGUCCAAAGAAAGAAAACGAGAGAAGAAAAGAAACUGAAAAAGGAAUGUAAUAUGUUUGUGUAUCUGCUGUAUAUGCAGGAAAGAAUUCAGUGGUGGUGUUUGGACUCUGCAGAAAUGCUGCUUAGUACAAAAGAAUCAACGAAUCUUGUGCGGGAACGCGGCGGCGCUGGGCAUAAGAAAGGCUGUCUUGAGCUGCGUCGCCACAGCCACGUCGCAGCAGACCCCUCCGUCUCCGUGCCCGGGCGCUCUCCCCUGCUCCAGCGCUGCAAUCCGGGCCGAAUCAGCACCUUCCUCCGUCGUCGAUCUGCGGCCCCUUCAUGCUUCAUGCCCAUGGUGUGGUCGACAUACCGCCCCGACACGCUGCACUGUGCCUAGCGUUCUGAUGGGAUAUGGGAAGAGAUGGGUGAAUGACCUAUAGGAUUUAAUAGCCCGUGCUCCCUUGCUGUCUGCCUGCAACACAAGCUCAUGCUCUACUACAGGGAGGCUGCGGUCAUAAGAGGACAUCAUCAAGUUCUUCGAUUGGUGCAACCGACUGAUUGAUGUUGCUGUUUGGAUGGCCUGUAGUUCGAGUCAUUCUAGGUUUUCUACUGUUAUACCUCGCAUCUAGAAGAUCUUUGGUGGGUUUCAUAAUCGUAAGGUCAAAUGUCAUUAUACAAAUUGAGUGCUAUUACUAUGCAUGUGACUGUUCUGUUUGAAGUAAGUCAAACUCUGUUAGUUAUGUGAUGCUUCCAAAUUGAAUAAGUAGAAGUGCACAUCUGACAUAUAUCUUGAAUUAAUGUUUCGAGAAAUAAUGAGUUAAUUUUAUGAACACCGAUGGGCAAACGUUUUAUCUUUAUUUGAUGAUCCAGAGAGAGGUCAACUUACAUUUUUACUGUCAUUAACCUUUUAUUGCCAUCUUGAUAAGCACAUGGUGAAUUAUGUACUAAGUGUAUAUAAGGUCUCAGAUCAAUGUUGAUGCUCCUGCUUCUCCUUUUAUUUCUCAUAUAUUAGAAGCUGCUGGAAACAUUUGUAGUUCCCCCGGCAUGUUUAGCAUGUAGUUAUUUUCCAUAUUUAAAUGCAGAUGAAACAUAAUAAUCUAGAUGCAUCUAUUCUCUUUUUGGACCAGGGGAGUGUUCCCCGUUUGAAAAAUGAAUACCUAGAGUGGAAGUAUUGCUAACGGUGAAAUGCUUUUAAAAUAUCUGUAGGUUGUAUAUUCUGACUGAAAAUAUCUGCAUAGGUUAUACGGGCCAGAGUGUCCAUUGUCGACGCCACCUUCGCUGCUGUACCCAUAUUUGGGGCCAACCAAACUAUGUAGCCAUCUGUCAUCCUGGAGGUCUCAAGACGAGGGUCAUGCCUGUGCUUUAAAUAUAUGUUUGAACCAUAAAAUUGAUUUGUUCCUUUCAAUGGUAUGUCGACAUGCAUUUCCAUCAAAUGACUCACUUCUAAUGCAUUGCUUCUUAGCUGAAUAUAUGUUUAUUUAUUGUACUUUUUUUCUUAGAAACUACUGUUCUCAAGUGGAGAGUGGAGACACGAUUGUAAAGGUCAUCCCUUGUAAUCUCAACUAAAAUAAU